CACGUGAAUAUUUAGCCAAUUUUUAUUUCGAAAAUGGAAUCUCCAGGGUCGAAUAUGUGUCUACCUAAAGCUAUAGGAAAAUUUAAAGUGGGAACUAAAAGGAAUUCCCUUGUAAGGCUAAAUAUCGACUCGAUUGCAAUAGCGAGUACCGUGAGGGAAAGUUGCAAAGGACUUUGAAGAGAGAGUUCAAGAGAACGUGAAAUCGCUGGAGUGGAACCGGAGACAGUUGAUGUCGCUUGGAGACAAGCUUGGUGACUGGUCGCUUAGUUGUGAUAGUUGCCGGGUGUCGUCUCCUAUCCAACGCCGACGGCGUUGGCUGCUCGUUCUGGCCCGAUAAUGUUGCCCAGCUCGCAAGAGUCGGUGUCUUGUUGUCGGUAGUUAGUUCGUGGCGGCUAGCGUUUAGUUACACUAGUGUAGUGGGCCAUUUUUGGUAAGCAGAACUGGCGCUGUGGGGUGAACCAAACAGGGAGUUAAGGUGCCUAACUUCUCGCUCAUGAGACCCCAUAAAAGGUGUUGGUUGAUAUUGACAGCAGGACGGUGGCCAUGGAAGUCGGUACCCGCUAAGGAGUGUGUAACAACUCACCUGCCGAAUCAACUAGCCCUGAAAAUGAAUGGCGCUUAAGCGAGAGACCUAUACUCCACCGUUGCGACACGUGCGUUGUCUAGCGCCAGGUCGUAACGAGUAGGAAGGUCAUGGCGGUUGCGUUGAAGGCUAUGAGCGUGAGCUCGGCUGGAGCUUCCCUUAGUGCAGAUCGUAAUGGUAGUAGCAAAUAUUCAAGUUCGAUCCUUGAAGACUGAAGUGGAGAAGGGUUCCACGUGAACAGUAGUUGGAUGUGGGUCAGUCGAUCGUAAGGUACUGGCAAACGCCUUGUAUCAUCGGUGGCGAAAAGUUUGCUUUUGAUCCCCGUUUGUCGAAAGGGAAUAGGGUUAAUAUUUCCUAACUGAGAUGCAAAGAUUGUGUUCUUCGGAGCACAAGCGCGGUAACGCAUUCGAACUUGGUUACUCGCUCAAAGACCGAGCUAGAUUCUUCUCUAGUUAAGGGACGGACUCCCUGGAAUUGGUUCAGCCAGAGAUGGGGACGUUGUUUCCGAAAAGCACCGCGGGUUCUGUGGUGUCUCGUGCUCUUUGAACGACCCUUAAAACACCAAGGAAGGCUAUUAAUUUGCACUCAAUCGUACCGAUAUCCGCAUUAGGUCUCCAAGGUGAACAGCCUCUAGUC
RNAcentral lists this non-coding RNA (1219 nucleotides) under Caenorhabditis brenneri. RNAcentral describes it as "Eukaryotic large subunit ribosomal RNA". It matches the Rfam family "Eukaryotic large subunit ribosomal RNA", at positions 151 to 1888 of the family's 3401-position model. Lineage: Eukaryota; Metazoa; Nematoda; Chromadorea; Rhabditida; Rhabditidae. The record is from Rfam by way of RNAcentral.